CUUAGCUCAGCUGGGAGAGCGCCUGCUUUGCACGCAGGAGGUCAUCGGUUCGAUCCCGAUAGGCUCCACCA
This 71-nucleotide transfer RNA is filed under the name Parageobacillus toebii. RNAcentral's name for it is "tRNA-Ala". It matches the Rfam family "tRNA". Rfam says of the family: Transfer RNA (tRNA) molecules are approximately 80 nucleotides in length. Their secondary structure includes four short double-helical elements and three loops (D, anti-codon, and T loops). The record is from RNAcentral. Lineage: Bacteria; Bacillati; Bacillota; Bacilli; Caryophanales; Anoxybacillaceae.